This 844-nucleotide ribosomal RNA is filed under the name uncultured bacterium. RNAcentral describes it as "bacterial SSU rRNA". It matches the Rfam family "Bacterial small subunit ribosomal RNA", at positions 26 to 914 of the family's 1533-position model. The record is from RNAcentral.
AGGUGACCUGGCGGUCUGCUUAACACAUGCAAGUCGAACGAACUCUUCGGAGUGAGUGGCGGACGGGUGAGUAACGCGUGAGAAUCUGCCUGUGGGUCGGGGACAACCACUGGAAACGGUGGCUAAUACCGGAUGAGCCGAAAGGUAAAAAAUUUAUUGCCCACAGAUGAGCUCGCGUCUGAUUAGCUAGUUGGUAAGGUAAAAGCGUACCAAGGCGACGAUCAGUAGCUGGUCUGAGAGGAUGAGCAGCCACACUGGGACUGAGACACGGCCCAGACUCCUACGGGGAGGCAGCAGUGGGGAUUUUUCCGCAAUGGGCGAAAGCUUGACGGAGCAAGACCGCGUGGGGGAGGAAGGUUUUUGUAUCGUAAACCCUUUUUGUCAGGGAAGAUUUUCUGACGGUACUUGACGAAUAAGCCUCGGCUAACUCCGUGCCAGCAGCCGCGGUAAUACGGAGGAGGCAAGCGUUAUCCGGAAUGAUUGCGCGUAAAGCGUCUGUAGGUGGCCAGCUAAGUCUGCUGUUAAAGAUCACAGCUCAUCUGUGGGAAGGCAGUGGAAACUGGCAAGCUAGAGGCUGGUAGGGGAAAAGGGAAUUCCCGGUGUAGCGGUGAAAUGCGUAUAUAUCGGGAAGACCACCGGUGGCGAAUGCGCUUUUACUGGGCCAGACCUGACACUGAAGGACGAAAGCUAGGGGAGCGAAAGGGAAUUAGAUACCCCUGUAGUCCUAGCUGUAAACGAUGGAGACUAGGUGUAGCACGUAUCGACCCGUGCUGAAUCGAACCCAACGCGUUAAGUCUCCCGCUUGGGGAGUACCGCACGCAAGUUGUGAACUCAAAGGAUUGAC